RNAcentral lists this long non-coding RNA (230 nucleotides) under Capsicum annuum. RNAcentral describes it as "long non-coding RNA (CANN_LNC008076)". Lineage: Eukaryota; Viridiplantae; Streptophyta; Magnoliopsida; Solanales; Solanaceae. The record is from RNAcentral.
CAUGUUCUUGCUUUCAACCCCGAAAAGGGGGCGUUUAGCCACGCAUAGUCAUAACCAUAAUUACAAGGUUGUAAUUAAUGAAUGACAUAUGUAUGAACUAAAUAAAAUUAAUAAAAACCCAAUAAUGAAGUUGUAGCAGCCCCUUGAUGUUCAAAAUAUGUCAAAAGAUAUGUAAAAUGUGAUACAACAUGUAUAUAUAGCAUAAGGGUAAGCCAAGUCCGUGUAAGAGU